CAGGGUAUAGCUUAAUUUAGUAUAGCGCUUCCCUUACACUGAAGAAAUGCCCAUGCAAACUGGACUACCCUGA
This 73-nucleotide transfer RNA is filed under the name Polyipnus matsubarai. Its description in RNAcentral is "tRNA-Val". It matches the Rfam family "tRNA". Rfam says of the family: Transfer RNA (tRNA) molecules are approximately 80 nucleotides in length. Their secondary structure includes four short double-helical elements and three loops (D, anti-codon, and T loops). The record is from RNAcentral. Lineage: Eukaryota; Metazoa; Chordata; Actinopteri; Stomiiformes; Sternoptychidae.